UACCGAGUGAGGGCCCUCUGGGUCCAACCUCCCACCCGUGUUUAUUUUACCUUGUUGCUUCGGCGGGCCCGCCUUAACUGGCCGCCGGGGGGCUUACGCCCCCGGGCCCGCGCCCGCCGAAGACACCCUCGAACUCUGUCUGAAGAUUGUAGUCUGAGUGAAAAUAUAAAUUAUUUAAAACUUUCAACAACGGAUCUCUUGGUUCCGGCAUCGAUGAAGAACGCAGCGAAAUGCGAUACGUAAUGUGAAUUGCAAAUUCAGUGAAUCAUCGAGUCUUUGAACGCACAUUGCGCCCCCUGGUAUUCCGGGGGGCAUGCCUGUCCGAGCGUCAUUGCUGCCCUCAAGCACGGCUUGUGUGUUGGGCCCCGUCCUCCGAUCCCGGGGGACGGGCCCGAAAGGCAGCGGCGGCACCGCGUCCGGUCCUCGAGCGUAUGGGGCUUUGUCACCCGCUCUGUAGGCCCGGCCGGCGCUUGCCGAUCAACCCAAAUUUUUAUCCAGGUGACCUCGGAUCAGGUAGUUCCCG
Molecule: ribosomal RNA, 523 nt
Filed under: Penicillium sp. SDBF1
Lineage: Eukaryota; Fungi; Ascomycota; Eurotiomycetes; Eurotiales; Aspergillaceae
Description: eukaryotic LSU rRNA
Rfam family: 5.8S ribosomal RNA (bases 179-331)
Source: RNAcentral